GGCCAUCCCGGCUUACCAACCCGAUGCAAACUGCGAAUACCGGAGAAUGUUAUCACGGGAGACACACGGCGGGUGCUAACGUCCGUCGUGAAGAGGGAAACAACCCAGACCGCCAGCUAAGGUCCCAAAGUCAUGGUUAAGUGGGAAACGAUGUGGGAAGGCCCAGACAGCCAGGAUGUUGGCUUAGAAGCAGCCAUCAUUUAAAGAAAGCGUAAUAGCUCACUGGUCGAGUCGGCCUGCGCGGAAGAUGUAACGGGGCUAAACCAUGCACCGAAGCUGCGGCAGCGACACUGUGUGUUGUUGGGUAGGGGAGCGUUCUGUAAGCCUGCGAAGGUGUCCCGUGAGGGAUGCUGGAGGUAUCAGAAGUGCGAAUGCUGACAUAAGUAACGAUAAAGCGGGUGAAAAGCCCGCUCGCCGGAAGACCAAGGGUUCCUGUCCAACGUUAAUCGGGGCAGGGUGAGUCGACCCCUAAGGCGAGGCCGAAAGGCGUAGUCGAUGGGAAACAGGUUAAUAUUCCCGUACUUGGUGUUACUGCGAAGGGGGGACGGAGAAGGCUAUGUUGGCCGGGCGACGGUUGUCCCGGUUUAAGCGUGUAGGCUGGUUUUCCAGGCAAAUCCGGAAAAUCAAGGCUGAGGCGUGACGACGAGGCACUACGGUGCUGAAGCAACAAAUGCCCUGCUUCCAGGAAAAGCCUCUAAGCAUCAGGUAACAUCAAAUCGUACCCCAAACCGACACAGGUGGUCAGGUAGAGAAUACCAAGGCGCUUGAGAGAACUCGGGUGAAGGAACUAGGCAAAAUGGUGCCGUAACUUCGGGAGAAGGCACGCUGACACGUAGGUGAAGUGAUUUACUCAUGGAGCUGAAGUCAGUCGAAGAUACCAGCUGGCUGCAACUGUUUAUUAAAAACACAGCACUGUGCAAACACGAAAGUGGACGUAUACGGUGUGACGCCUGCCCGGUGCCGGAAGGUUAAUUGAUGGGGUCAGCGCAAGCGAAGCUCCUGAUCGAAGCCCCGGUAAACGGCGGCCGUAACUAUAACGGUCCUAAGGUAGCGAAAUUCCUUGUCGGGUAAGUUCCGACCUGCACGAAUGGCGUAAUGAUGGCCAGGCUGUCUCCACCCGAGACUCAGUGAAAUUGAACUCGCUGUGAAGAUGCAGUGUACCCGCGGCAAGACGGAAAGACCCCGUGAACCUUUACUAUAGCUUGACACUGAACAUUGAGCCUUGAUGUGUAGGAUAGGUGGGAGGCUUUGAAGUGUGGACGCCAGUCUGCAUGGAGCCGACCUUGAAAUACCACCCU
This 1298-nucleotide ribosomal RNA is filed under the name Salmonella enterica subsp. enterica serovar Kentucky. Its description in RNAcentral is "partial 23S ribosomal RNA". It matches the Rfam family "Bacterial large subunit ribosomal RNA", at positions 925 to 2206 of the family's 2925-position model. Lineage: Bacteria; Pseudomonadati; Pseudomonadota; Gammaproteobacteria; Enterobacterales; Enterobacteriaceae. The record is from RNAcentral.